UAAUAACGUGCUUGAUAAAAAGAUCGUCUUGAUAGGGCGAAUAAUGAGAGUCGGCCUCUCCGUUAUUAA
RNAcentral lists this transfer RNA (69 nucleotides) under Plesionika sindoi. RNAcentral's name for it is "tRNA-Ile". Lineage: Eukaryota; Metazoa; Arthropoda; Malacostraca; Decapoda; Pandalidae. The record is from RNAcentral.